AUUGAACGCUGGCGGCAUGCCUUACACAUGCAAGUCGAACGGCAGCACGGGAGCAAUCCUGGUGGCGAGUGGCGAACGGGUGAGUAAUACAUCGGAACGUGCCCAGUCGUGGGGGAUAACGCAGCGAAAGCUGCGCUAAUACCGCAUACGAUCUAUGGAUGAAAGCGGGGGACCGUAAGGCCUCGCGCGAUUGGAGCGGCCGAUGUCAGAUUAGGUAGUUGGUGGGGUAAAGGCUCACCAAGCCAACGAUCUGUAGCUGGUCUGAGAGGACGACCAGCCACACUGGGACUGAGACACGGCCCAGACUCCUACGGGAGGCAGCAGUGGGGAAUUUUGGACAAUGGGCGCAAGCCUGAUCCAGCAAUGCCGCGUGCAGGAAGAAGGCC
This 386-nucleotide ribosomal RNA is filed under the name uncultured bacterium. RNAcentral's name for it is "bacterial SSU rRNA". It matches the Rfam family "Bacterial small subunit ribosomal RNA", at positions 29 to 416 of the family's 1533-position model. The record is from RNAcentral.